CCAGUCUCUAGAGGCUUUGCAGGAGUGGCUGCUGCCACGUGUGCAUCAGUAGGUGGCAGAGAGGAAAGAGCCCGUGUCCACACUCAGUGUUCCGACCUAUGAACAUCUGAAUCAUUAGUAGCCUAACAUU
This is a small nucleolar RNA of Grammomys surdaster, 130 nucleotides long. RefSeq annotates it as small nucleolar RNA SNORA17. The record is from RefSeq and is a predicted model, not a curated record. Lineage: Eukaryota; Metazoa; Chordata; Mammalia; Rodentia; Muridae. The transcript has a single exon.